GCUGGCGGCAGGCUUAACACAUGCAAGUACGGACGCACCUUCGGGUGAGUGGCAGACGGGUGAGUAACGCGUGGGAACCUUCCCUGUGGUACGGAAUAGCUCCGGGAAACUGGAAUUAAUACCGUAUACGCCCUUCGGGGGAAAGAUUUAUCGCCAUAGGAUGGGCCCGCGUCGGAUUAGCUUGUUGGUAGGGUAAUGGCCUACCAAGGCAACGAUCCGUAGCUGGUCUUAGAGGAUGAUCAGCCACACUGGGACUGAGACACGGCCCAGACUCCUACGGGAGGCAGCAGUGGGGAAUAUUGGACAAUGGGCGAAAGCCUGAUCCA
RNAcentral lists this ribosomal RNA (326 nucleotides) under uncultured Rhodobiaceae bacterium. RNAcentral's name for it is "bacterial SSU rRNA". It matches the Rfam family "Bacterial small subunit ribosomal RNA", at positions 35 to 390 of the family's 1533-position model. The record is from RNAcentral. Lineage: Bacteria; Pseudomonadati; Pseudomonadota; Alphaproteobacteria; Hyphomicrobiales; Rhodobiaceae.